This 473-nucleotide ribosomal RNA is filed under the name uncultured bacterium. Its description in RNAcentral is "bacterial SSU rRNA". It matches the Rfam family "Bacterial small subunit ribosomal RNA", at positions 328 to 793 of the family's 1533-position model. The record is from RNAcentral.
CUCUGUGACUCCUACGGGAGGCAGCAGUGGGGAAUAUUGCACAAUGGGCGCAAGCCUGAUGCAGCCAUGCCGCGUGUGUGAAGAAGGCCUUCGGGUUGUAAAGCACUUUCAGUUGUGAGGAAGGUGGUGUCGUUAAUAGCGGCAUCAUUUGACGUUAGCAACAGAAGAAGCACCGGCUAACUCCGUGCCAGCAGCCGCGGUAAUACGGAGGGUGCGAGCGUUAAUCGGAAUUACUGGGCGUAAAGCGCAUGCAGGUGGUUUGUUAAGUCAGAUGUGAAAGCCCGGGGCUCAACCUCGGAACUGCAUUUGAAACUGGCAGACUAGAGUACUGUAGAGGGGGUAGAAUUUCAGGUGUAGCGGUGAAAUGCGUAGAGAUCUGAAGGAAUACCGGUGGCGAAGGCGGCCCCCCUGGACAGAUACUGACACUCAGAUGCGAAAGCGUGGGGAGCGAACAGGAUUAGAUACCCUGGUAG